This 406-nucleotide ribosomal RNA is filed under the name uncultured bacterium. RNAcentral describes it as "partial 16S ribosomal RNA". It matches the Rfam family "Bacterial small subunit ribosomal RNA", at positions 29 to 526 of the family's 1533-position model. The record is from RNAcentral.
AGUGAACGCUGGCGGUAGGCCUAACACAUGCAAGUCGAACGAGUGGCGGACGGGAGAGGAAUACAUCGGAAUCUACGCUGUCGAGGGGGAUAACGUAGGGAAACUUACGAUAAUACCGCAUACGAUUGAAUGAGCCGAUGUCGGAUUAGCUAGUUGGAGGGGUAAAGGCCAACCAAGGCGACGAUCCGUAGCUGGUCUGAGAGGAUGAUCAGCCACACUGGAACUGAGACACGGUCCAGACUCCUACGGGAGGCAGCAUUGGGGAAUAUUGCACAAUGGGCGCAAGCCUGAUGCAGCCAUGCCGCGUGUAUGAAGAAGUCCUUCGGGUUGUAAAGUACUUUCAGCGGGGAGGCGUUACCCGCAGAAGAAGCACCGGCUAACUCCGUGCCAGCAGCCGCGGUAAUUC